AAAGGUAAGCUACUAAGAGCGAAUGGUGGAUGCCUUGACUGGUAAAGGCGAUGAAGGACGUACUAGACUGCGAUAAGCUACGGGGAGCUGUCAAGAAGCUUUGAUCCGUAGAUUUCCGAAUGGGGCAACCCAAUGUAUAGAGAUAUACAUUACCUAUAUAGGAGCGAACGAGGGGAAUUGAAACAUCUUAGUACCCUCAGGAAAAGAAAUCAAUAGAGAUUGCGUCAGUAGCGGCGAGCGAAAGCGCAAGAGGGCAAACCCAGUGCUUGCACUGGGGGUUGUAGGACUGCAAUGUGCAAGAGCUGAGUUUAGCAGAACAUUCUGGAAAGUAUAGCCAUAGAGGGUGAUAGUCCCGUAUGCGAAAAACAAAGCUUAGCUAGCAGUAUCCUGAGUAGGGCGGGACACGAGGAAUCCUGUCUGAAUCCGGGUCGACCACGAUCCAACCCUAAAUACUAAUACCAGAUCGAUAGUGCACAAGUACCG
This 483-nucleotide ribosomal RNA is filed under the name Campylobacter jejuni. RNAcentral describes it as "partial 23S ribosomal RNA". It matches the Rfam family "Bacterial large subunit ribosomal RNA", at positions 1 to 503 of the family's 2925-position model. Lineage: Bacteria; Pseudomonadati; Campylobacterota; Epsilonproteobacteria; Campylobacterales; Campylobacteraceae. The record is from RNAcentral.